RNAcentral lists this ribosomal RNA (251 nucleotides) under uncultured bacterium. RNAcentral describes it as "partial 16S ribosomal RNA". It matches the Rfam family "Bacterial small subunit ribosomal RNA", at positions 78 to 334 of the family's 1533-position model. The record is from RNAcentral.
CUUUUGCUGGCGACCGGCGCACGGGUGAGUAACACGUAUCCAACCUGCCCUUUACUCGGGGAUAGCCUUUCGAAAGAAAGAUUAAUACCCGAUAGCAUAAUGAUUCCGCAUGGUUUCAUUAUUAAAGGAUUCCGGUAAAGGAUGGGGAUGCGUUCCAUUAGGUUGUUGGUGAGGCAACGGCUCACCAAGCCUUCGAUGGAUAGGGGUUCUGAGAGGAAGGUCCCCCACAUUGGAACUGAGACACGGUCCAA